UAUUCUCAACCCCUAAAUUUUUGUAAUGAAGGUUUAGCGGGCUUGGACUUGGAGGUUGUGUCGGCCCUUGUCGGUCGACUCCUCUGAAAUGCAUUAGCGUGAAUCUUACGGAUCGCCUUCAGUGUGAUAAUUAUCUGCGCUGUGGUGUUGAAGUAUUUAUGGUGUUCAUGCUUCGAACCGUCUCCUUGCCGAGACAAUCAUUUGACA
RNAcentral lists this unclassified non-coding RNA (207 nucleotides) under Irpex lacteus. RNAcentral describes it as "partial internal transcribed spacer 2". The record is from RNAcentral. Lineage: Eukaryota; Fungi; Basidiomycota; Agaricomycetes; Polyporales; Irpicaceae.